UAUCUUGUGACAUGAAUGUUUCUCUUGGGAGAUAAGAGCAAGACGAAAUGCGGUCUCUAGCAUUUCACAAACAAAAAAGGACGAAACUGUUCGCUCUUCUUCUGUUUCCUUCUUCUUAAAUAGAGGUGAAAGUAAAAAAGACGUAUAUCUACAGAAUUUAUUCUAUUUCCAUUACACAUUCUCAUAAUCCUAUAUAACGUAAUACAUUAUAAGGUAAUACUAUGUGGAGGUACGAUUAAACGUGUUGGUGUUGAUUGAUGAGACGAGUUGAUACUUGUGCCCUCAAAUGUAUUUAAGACUAUUUUUAAAUAUAUAAUACAGAAUACA
RNAcentral lists this unclassified non-coding RNA (327 nucleotides) under Bombus terrestris (buff-tailed bumblebee). RNAcentral describes it as "misc RNA ENSBTSG00005023163.1". The record is from RNAcentral. Lineage: Eukaryota; Metazoa; Arthropoda; Insecta; Hymenoptera; Apidae.